CUGAUAAGCGCACGGGUGGACGUGGUCUCUACACGAGCCCGCAUGUGCCGCAGGGCGGUACAUAUGCGCGAGACUCAG
RNAcentral lists this non-coding RNA (78 nucleotides) under unclassified sequences. RNAcentral describes it as "L4-Archaeoglobi ribosomal protein leader". It matches the Rfam family "L4-Archaeoglobi ribosomal protein leades". The record is from RNAcentral.